This 5982-nucleotide long non-coding RNA is filed under the name Homo sapiens (human). RNAcentral describes it as "HSALNT0312486". Lineage: Eukaryota; Metazoa; Chordata; Mammalia; Primates; Hominidae. The record is from RNAcentral.
AAUGAAGAGACAAGGUCUUGCUAUGUUGCUCAGGUUGGUCUUGAAUUCCUGGCCUCAAGGGAUCCUCCUCCAUUGGCCUCCCAAAGUGCUGGGAUUUGCCCAGCCCCUAACUGUUGUUUUGUUAAGUUGCAUUUCUCAAGAUUGGGCAGAGUAGCUUCCUAGACUUGGUGAUUUAAUUUUACUUUUCUUGUCUUGUUAUUUCUCUGCAUUCAAUGUUACCUUAAUUGUAAAAUAAAAAUUACCAAGACAUUGCUGAAUAUAGUUGUUGAUUAGUGUUCCCUUGAUAGUAGUCCUGCAUUUUUACUUUCAGCUACUGCUUAAUCACAUUCAUUUGCAAAAUUGGAAAAUUUUUACUUUGGCUAAUUACCAUAGGUUUAGAACUUUCUGGUCUUCAGCUCCAGAAAUGUAUCGCUGUGUUGAGAUCAUGUUUUAUUUCAUCCAUGUUUAUUUGAAUACUGCCCCUCUGAAAAGCUGACUGUUUUUGGAGCUUUUAUACACAAGUAUGAGUGAGGAAAUUACUUUAGGUGUAGAAUAAAAUUGUGUAGAAAUAAUUAUCUUUGAAAAAAUUUGGUAUUCAGGAUAUUGAAUUGGAAGUGUUGAAGAAGCAGCUGUUUUGUGUGUAAUACGUUUCUCUUGUUUGAGAAUUUACCAGUUUUUUGCAGUUGUAGCUUUGAACUAUCCAUUCCCCCCUUAAAUUUAGAUACCCUGACAACCAAAAAUCUCUUGAAUUGUCAUGAAGUACUUUAGUAGAAGUUUUAUGGAAAAACACAACAUAGCUAUGAUCUUUGCUGGAAGCUUCAAAAAGGCAUCAUCGUGUGAUGCUUUUUAGGUAGAAAAACUCCCAGAAAUAAGAUAAGGUACCUACACUGGGCAAAGCCCAAGCCUCUUACUCAUGUUUCCUGGUAAUCCACAGCAGUGGUUUUGCUCCUUUCAUGACAUUGUUUUUGUUGUAGUGUUUGUCUUUCAUAAAAAUUCUCCAUAAAAAUAUAUAAAAAUUACCUGUCUUCCAAAUCAAACUUUUAUCAAACCUUCCAAGCUGAAAGCUGGUACAAUUUAAGAUCAUUUUACCCAGGAACAGAGUAAUAAUUUAUUUUGUGUUUACUGUUUCAUUGGACUUACUGAUUUAUUGGUGGUGACUUGAUCUUAUGUGUACUUGGUGACCUUAAAGUAAAUUACCUGGGUAGUUGUGGUCAUUUGACAAGUUUUUAUUGAGCACACAGCCAUUUGCGCUCUUGGUGUACAGUGGUAUAAAGACAGACCAGGUCCCUGUUCUUACGGAGCUUAAAAUACUAUGGAAAGGAAGAGAAAAUAAACUAACAGAAAAAUAACAAUUUCAGCUGGCGACAAGUGCUACGAAGAAUUUAGAGAAGGGUAAGGAACUACAGAGUGAUGAGAACUGGGUGGAGUGACUGCUUUAUAGACAAUGUUGAGAUAAUGCAUUUAAUUUUUUAGGAAAAAGUAAUGCUACUUCCUUUUGGAGCCGGGGAUAAUUCUUAUGUAGGUUUACCUGUGCCAUUUAGCUCAUUUGGUUGGGGGACAGACAGCUUUUAGAUUUGGAGCCCUUGUGCAUAGGCUGCUAAACUUAUAAACUUAGUUCCAUGUUGUAGACUAAACCUAGGCCAGCUAAUUUACUAGUAUUGUUAGUCAUUAGGGUGGGAGAUUAUGAAUGGAUUCACUUACAUAUUAUUUAUUCAUGUGGCAUAUAUUUGUUGUGUAUUUCAGUAGGUGCUGAAGAAAAUUCCAGGAUUAAGAAAAACUUUCUCAAGUAGCUGUAGUUUACCAAAAUAGUUAUCAGAACUAAUUUGGUUCAUUAGGACUUUGAGUAAAUAGUAGGUCUCUCGUGUCCUAAAUGACUUGAGCUAACACAUUCUGCAGUCUUUCUGGCACUUCUUUUCUCUUUUGCCUCAUCACCCAUGCUUUUUCUCUUUGUGGCAUCUUCUGUGUUACUUUUCAUAACUAGUACUCCCACUUCCCUUUUUACCUAUAGAUACAAACUUUUUCAACGGUCGCAUACAUAGAAGUGCACAAAUCGUAAGUAUAAGGAUUUGAUAAAGUUUUGCAGAAUGAGCAUAUCUUUGCCACUAGCACCCAGAUUGAUUUUUUUUUUUUUUUUGAGACAGGUAUCUGGCUCUGUUGCCCAGGCUAGAGUGUGGUGGUGUAAUCACAGCUCACUGUAGCCCCUACUUUGAGGCCCAGGUGAUACUCUCACCUCAGCCUCCUGAGUAGUUGGGACCAUAGACAUGUGCCAUCAUGCCUGGCACAUUUUUAAGGGCUUUUUUUUUUUCUUUUUGUGAGACACGGUCUCCCUAUGUUGCCUAGGCUAGUGUCUUAUUUCUGGGCUCAAGCGAUCCUCCCGCCUCAGCCUCCCAGAGAGUUGGUAUUAUAGGCAUGAGCCACUGUGCUGGCUUGCACCUAGAUUCUUAAAGAGAACAUUACUAGAACAUUACCGGAAGCCCCUUGUGCACUGUCCCCUGUGGGCCACUUCUCCCACCCCAUUCCUGUCUUUUAAUACUAGAGAUCAGUUGUGCUUGUUUUUGAAAUUUAUGUGAGUGGAGUAUACUAUGUAUACAGUACACAGUAAAUACUGUAUGUACCACUGCCUAUAUACAGUAUACUCCACAGUGAGUGAAACAAGCCAGACUCAGAAGCAUACAUACUGUAUGUACCACUUUGCUUAGUAGCCACAGUGUAUGCACCAUGGUACAUGCAUAUACUUCUGAAUCUGGCUUGUUUCACUCAUGGUUAGGUGUGCAGGAUUCAUCCAUGUUGUUGUGUGCAGUUCUUGCUUAUUUUACCAGUCUGUCUUAUCCUGAGAAUAUCUUUGACAUUCAACUCUGCAUGCAGACCCUUCCUUACACGUUCUAGAGAGAGGACCUGUCUUCACCCUGUGUUUAUUACCCACAUACUUGAACAGCUGUUUCCUCCAGGCAUCAUUAUGCAAAAGGAAUGAAACCCGGUGUGUGCAGCUUUUUUAGAGGACGUAAAAGGAGUCAGCUCUUGCCUCUCAUCAAUAGUAUUGUUUAUCAGUCAUUUCUCUUUUGAGGCAUUGGUUGAAUAAAUGGGAAAAUUCCUGCUUUCAAGGAACUUAGCAGACUUGUUGACAGAUAAGACCAUAAGAAGAAAGCCAGUGAAGUACCCAGUGAUGUGAACGCCAUGGUAUGAGCAAGUACAUAAUAGAGACCACAAGUGCUUUUUAGAAGUUAGAGAUAGUCAUUCUCUGGGGCUUCCUCAGGAAAAUCCUCGCUGAAUCUGGGAUCUAAACUGGGCCUUAUGAUUCUUGGAUAUAAGGUUUGUUGUAUAGGUUGAUACAAGUUACUUAUUAAUAGUUGUUUGCCCCCCUCCCUUUCACUAUCUUUAGGUGAUGAUGUCCACACCUUUCCACAUCUCCUCAGGAGCUGGUGAUUCCCAGAUACUAUUUGUUAACCUGCAUCACCACUCCCAUGCACACGAACACAGGACAAACAAAUCCAGCUGCUUCCUGGCAUCUCUACUUGAACAACUUAAAGGCAAUUCAGAUCCCACAGGGUGAAAAGCUGAAUUCAUCUAUCAGAGUGUUUUCUAAAAUCCCAAGUAGAUUAUGUCCCAUUCCUGCUUAAAAUGAUCUCCUGAUUCUCAUUGCCUUUUGGAUAAAAUCCAAUCCUGAGUAUCAACAAGGGGCUUGUGAUUUGGUCCUUUUCUGUGUCAUUCUUUAGAAUUUCUGGAAGCAGCCUAUCAUCGCUCCGUCUGCCCUCCAUACACAGCGUUUGUGUGUGUUAUGCCAAACUGCUUGGUGUUUUCCAACCGUGGACCAUGAUAUCUCACUUCCUUAACCUUACCUUCAUAUGCUUUUCCUUUGUGUCUUCUUCUGAAAUGCUUCUUCCUUUUGUCCAGGCUGACUCCUGUUUGUCUGAGACUUGUGUCUCAGGAAGCCUUUCCGUUCCCCUCCAGUCAUUCAUACCUCUGUCAUAACACAUAGACUGUAUUUUUAAUUUGAUUUCCAAUCUGUCUCUUUUAGGUUGUCACCUUUUUUGAGGGCAAGACCUUUUUGUUUCAUGGCUUUAGUUUGCUGUGUUUGUUACAGUGCCUGGCAUUUGGUAGGGGUUGAGUAAAUGUAUACAGAAUAAAUGAAGCCUGGGAGAAGGAGUUCCAGUUAAGAGUUCUAAUAAAUAACUGUUUUUUCAAAAUCUUGGGGCUUUCAUCUUGUGUGUUGAAUGUUACUGGAUUAGGGGAAAGUUGUCUUUAUGAAGUGGGCCCUUUAAACUAGUAUUCCUGUUUUUCUGUUAUAGUUCCCUACUCCCCGCCCCACACCCCCUCUAAAAAAAAAGUACUAGAAGUUACACACAGAACUGUAGCCUUGGAGGCUGUAGGCAGUGCAUUUAAAGUACUUCUGGAGUGGUUUUGAGCUUCAGAGCAUUGACACACUUCCCUAAAUAACUGUGACAAUUCUUUCUAUUUGCUGUUGCCCAUCGGUGAUUUCAGUGGCCAGUAGUCAUACUGGAAAGUCUGAUAAUAAAGCAGGGGAUCAGUCAUGUGGUACCAAACCAGUUGUGGGGAAUGUUAGAUGUGUUAAGAUGUGAUUAGCAACGACAUUCCUGUUUGUAAACUGGCAUCUAUGGCGGUUUAAAAAUGGUGGCAAAACCAUUUUGAGUAUUGUUGGAAAUGUUAUCUGUUCUGCCGUGUUAAUAUACCUAUAAGUUGGUAGUUGCAUCUUGUACCCUUGAUAGUCAUACUUUGUACAUUGUGUAUGCCACUCUUCUGUUGAGUAAUUUGGAUUAAUUACUUUGGAGAUUGAAGUCUUGACUCAUUCACUUCACUCAUUUAUUUAGCUGUAUUUUCAGUUCCAUGCAAUGAGUGACACAGACUGUGCUGCCAAAAAGGAAUUCUCAGUAAGGGCAAUGCACAUAAAUUACUGUGUUACUCAGAAAUCAUGAAUAGUUGAGAUCACAAGCGGAGAGAUGGAACCAGGUCUUAUAAUCAGUAAACCAAUAUUCCAGUAAAAAGCCUGCAAAGAAUGCAAAUAAGUAAUAAAAUAACUACAAAUUAAGUCAGUAAAUAUGAGAAAUGUAUAGCCUACCCAUUACUCAAAGGAAUACAAAUGUAUGUGUGGAUGAGUCAGUAUCACUUUUAUAGUUGGAAGAAAGCAGUUUUCCUAAUAGGAAAUUUUUAGAAUUAAUCUGGUUUGGAAUAUUUAAGUGACAAUGUGUUUUUACAUUAAGGGAUUAAAAUUUUUAUCAGGCACACUACUAACUUAGUAUUAAAACAGCUGUUAAGAUUGGAAAGUAUCUGAAUGUAUUCUUUAAAAUAUAUUGUAUUUGUAAAUUUAAAAUUGUUUCGUACUCUUCAUAUAUAAGACAUUUUGUGUGAUGUUCUAAAUCAGUGCUAUCCAAAAGAAAUAUAUUGUAAGCCACAUGUAAUUUUAACUUUCUAGUAGUCACAGGAAGAAAGUAAAUUAAGCAGGUGAAAUUAAUUUUAAGAAUAUGUUUUAUCGAACCAAUUAUAUCCAGAAUGUUUUUUUUAACAUGUAACCAGUAUUACAGUGAGAUAGUUUACAUUCUUUUUUUCAAAGACAGUCUUCAAAAUCUAGUGUACAUUUUAGGGUUACAGCAAAGUUUAGUUCAGACUAACCACAUUUCAAGUGCUCAGUAGCCACCUUUGGCUAGUGGGUACCAUAUUGAAGAAGAGGAUGAGUAGUUGGGAGUGAGGGCUUUGAUGUCAGACCCAAGUUUGAGUAACAGCAGCUCUGCCAUUUGCUCACCUUGUGACCUUGGGUAUGUUACAUGAACUUGUGCUUUUGUUUUUCAUUUAUAAGGUACAACAGUUGAUUGCUAAAUAGGAUUCUUCUGAAGCACUGUCUGUUUUAAAACGGUGAUCCCUCUUAGUAGAGCUCCCAUAGAAUGCCUUCCGAAGUUCUCUUCUGCUCUGUACUCUCUGGCUGAAAGUUUCAGAAACAGAGCGACUAGAGUGGUCUAGAGUCAGAAUACAGUGUAAGGAAGCAAAGGGGAU